This 122-nucleotide ribosomal RNA is filed under the name Thermoproteota archaeon. RNAcentral's name for it is "partial 16S ribosomal RNA". It matches the Rfam family "Archaeal small subunit ribosomal RNA", at positions 1356 to 1478 of the family's 1478-position model. The record is from RNAcentral. Lineage: Archaea; Thermoproteati; Thermoproteota.
CUUCAUCGAAGUUGGUUCUUGGCGAGGUGGUGCCUCAUUGGCACUAUCGAACCUGGGGUCAGCAACGAGGGAGAAGUCGUAACAAGGUGGCCGUAGGGGAACCUGCGGCCGGAUCACCUCCU